AUGGCUAGUCCUCCUAUCCUCGUUAUUACUCCCGAACAUGAAAUUCUUAAUUUUAAGCAAAGGGAGGGAGAAAAUUUAAAAGAUCUUUGGCAUAGAAUUUGCAAUGCUCAAAAUAGAUCUACUAGGAAGCUUUCUACUUUCGUUCUUCUUCGCAAUUUUUAUGUAGGCAUUACUCCUUGGAAUAGAUGCAUUCUUGACACCAUUACCGGAGGGGAUUUCUUGAGUAGCCAUACUUUUGAUGCUUAUAAUGCUAUGUUAGAUUUGUUUGGCCCACCACCUCUUUUGGUUAAUGGAACUGUUUUAACUUUGGAACAUGUGAUGCAAAGGCUUGAAAUUAUUGAAAAUAAAGUUGCCAAUGUUGAGUUGAUUGAAAAUUUGGAUAAAAAGAUUCAUAAUCAAAUUACCCAAUAUGGAUCUAGGGUUGGAGUUACUUUGAAAUUUUUUAAAGAGAAAGAACCCAUAGUUAAUUAA
RNAcentral lists this ribosomal RNA (471 nucleotides) under Triticum aestivum (bread wheat). RNAcentral's name for it is "partial small subunit ribosomal RNA". Lineage: Eukaryota; Viridiplantae; Streptophyta; Magnoliopsida; Poales; Poaceae. The record is from RNAcentral.